GACCUGGGUCCGUGCAGCUCCGACGCCCAAACCGUGUCAGGAUCGGAAGAUAGCAGCACCACGGGAUGCUCAGAGCAGGCGCGUCAACCCGGGUCGCC
Synechococcus sp. JA-2-3B'a(2-13) is the source of this 98-nucleotide non-coding RNA. It matches the Rfam family "Bacterial small signal recognition particle RNA". Rfam says of the family: The signal recognition particle (SRP) is a universally conserved ribonucleoprotein involved in the co-translational targeting of proteins to membranes. Archaeal SRP consists of a 7S RNA and homologues of the eukaryotic SRP19 and SRP54 proteins. In most bacteria, the SRP consists of a 4.5S RNA and the Ffh protein (a homologue of the eukaryotic SRP54 protein). Lineage: Bacteria; Bacillati; Cyanobacteriota; Cyanophyceae; Synechococcales; Synechococcaceae. The record is from Rfam.